UACGGAGGGGGCUAGCGUUGUUCGGAAUUACUGGGCGUAAAGCGCACGUAGGCGGCUUUGUAAGUUAGAGGUGAAAGCCCGGAGCUCAACUCCGGAAUUGCCUUUAAGACUGCAUCGCUCGAAUCAUGGAGAGGUGAGUGGAAUUCCGAGUGUAGAGGUGAAAUUCGUAGAUAUUCGGAAGAACACCAGUGGCGAAGGCGACUUACUGGACACAUAUUGACGCUGAGGUGCGAAAGCGUGGGGAGCAAACAGG
RNAcentral lists this ribosomal RNA (253 nucleotides) under uncultured bacterium. Its description in RNAcentral is "partial 16S ribosomal RNA". It matches the Rfam family "Bacterial small subunit ribosomal RNA", at positions 524 to 776 of the family's 1533-position model. The record is from RNAcentral.